RNAcentral lists this ribosomal RNA (305 nucleotides) under uncultured organism. RNAcentral describes it as "bacterial SSU rRNA". It matches the Rfam family "Bacterial small subunit ribosomal RNA", at positions 125 to 445 of the family's 1533-position model. The record is from RNAcentral.
ACUGCCCUUGGGAGGGGAACAACAGCUGGAAACGGCUGCUAAUACCCCAUAGGCUGAGGAGCAAAAGGAGGAAUCCGCCCAAGGAGGGGCUCGCGUCUGAUUAGUUAGUUGGUGAGGCAAUGGCUUACCAAGGCGACGAUCAGUAGCUGGUCCGAGAGGAUGAUCAGCCACACUGGGACUGAGACACGGCCCAGACUCCUACGGGAGGCAGCAGUGGGGAAUUUUCCGCAAUGGGCGAAAGCCUGACGGAGCAAUGCCGCGUUAAGGCAGAAGGCCCACGGGUCAUGAACUUCUUUUCUCGGAGA